GACGAACGCUGGCGGCGUGCUUAACACAUGCAAGUCGAGCGGUAAGGCCCUUUCGGGGGUACGACGAGCGGCGAACGGGUGAGUAACACGUGGGUGACCUGCCCUUAGCUCUGGGAUAAGCCUGGGAAACUGGGUCUAAUACCGGAUAUGACUCCAUGACGCAUGUUGUGGGGUGGAAAGCCUUGUGCGGCUAGGGAUGGGCCUGCGGCCUAUCAGCUUGUUGGUGGGGUGAUGGCCUACCAAGGCGACGACGGGUAGCCGGCCUGAGAGGGCGACCGGCCACACUGGGACUGAGACACGGGCCCAGACUCCUACGGGAGGCAGCAGUGGGGAAUCUUGCGCAAUGGGCGAAAGCCUGACGCAGCGACGCCGCGUGGGGA
Molecule: ribosomal RNA, 380 nt
Filed under: uncultured bacterium
Lineage: Bacteria
Description: bacterial SSU rRNA
Rfam family: Bacterial small subunit ribosomal RNA
Source: RNAcentral